CAUUUUGAUUAUGCCAAUCUUUCAAUAACUAAACCUGUUUUGUUGGUAAAUGAAAUAAGCUGUAGACUUUGUACAUUCGAUAAACUAAACAAUCCUAAAACAAAUUGGGCAACGUUUAUUCAUCCAAAUACAGGUAACUCUCAGCGACAUGGGGUUCAAGAAAGGCAUUUCGAGGUCAUUAAUACCAUAUGUGGUGAUCUUCCUUCUAUCAGAUAUCAAAACAUCUCUGAGUUUGCAGACCAUUAAAGAACUCACUUCGCACCCAGUCGCAGCCAGUGAGAAACCUGAUCGCUACUUAGAUGACAUCUGGCGCUUGUGGAUCUUCGAGAAUCACAGGAUCCAGGGGGGUGGGAAAAAUAACCCUCAGCAGUCAAGGAGUCCCAAUAUUCUUACCAAAAGUAAGACUCCUGGAUCUUCUGGAAUGUCGAGAAGCAUGGAAAAGAAAUAUUUCAGUGAAAUGGAAACGGAACAUAUCGAGGAAAGAAACAAACCACUCUGGUCCGGAAAAUAGCUUUUGGUAUUACUGGCCAGGACUAACUUUUCUGAAAAACUUUUGA
This is a long non-coding RNA of Symsagittifera roscoffensis, 557 nucleotides long. RefSeq lists it as uncharacterized. The record is from RefSeq and is a predicted model, not a curated record. The transcript has 3 exons. Lineage: Eukaryota; Metazoa; Xenacoelomorpha; Acoela; Convolutidae.